Brassica napus (rape) is the source of this 7116-nucleotide long non-coding RNA. RefSeq lists it as uncharacterized. The transcript has 7 exons. The record is from RefSeq and is a predicted model, not a curated record. NCBI's taxonomy places the organism in Eukaryota, Viridiplantae, Streptophyta, Magnoliopsida, Brassicales, Brassicaceae.
AAUCUCGAUUUUGAUCUUAGAUUAUCACUCUAGCUUGAUCUCGAUCUAUUUCAUAGUUAAUGGAUGGUUGUGUUCGUCUUUGUAUGUAGUGAACCCGGAUCGUUUUCCUUCAAUUGGAGGAAGAAGAUCGCACCACCAAGGAGCUGUUGGUGGUUAUUCUCCUCCUCUUCGCCGGAAUGUCACCGUGCUUCCAGAUAAAGGAAACCUGAAAGAUGCUUCUUGGGAAACUUGAGAUUCUUCGUAUGGAACACGUUUUACUCUGCUUGCAUAUUUUUUUGCUGAACGUUAUAAGAGCAUGAUUAACCCAUAACUCCAUUUGGGUCUCUUAUUCAUUAUUUUAGUAAUUAAAACUAAUUAAGAAUCUUAGUUAAGAGCUGCCUUGAUUUUGGAUCUCCAAUGGUAAACUCUUAUUUUGGGGUUCUUAAAAAAAAAAAACUUUGUGUAUUAAACACCAUUAAGCACAUUCUUAUCUUACUCGUGAGAUAAUAGCAGUUCCAGAGUAACCAAGUUUUGAGAUGCUACACGACCAGAAACUAUGAUCAUAGCCAUCACUAAGAGCUUUUUUAACUUCCUCAACAUCCUUCACCUAACAUUAGUGUAAUAGAUGUAUUUAGUACACAAGAAUUUAAUCCUUUUAAACAUAAGAAAGGCUAAUGUUAUGUAAUGACCUAGAUCUUUGCCUCGUGAAAGCACAACACAUCAAAGUUUUCUCUUUGCGCAAGUUGCAGAGGAUAGAAGCUCUCUAGCUUCAACAAUGCUCUCAAUCCAUUAACAUUCCAAGUCAUAAUCUUUACAGACUUGGUACCCUCUGGGAGAGGAGGAGGUCUCAUUGUCAUUGGGUUAUAAGCUUUAUAGUCUUCCUCAGGCUUCUUAUGGGCAAGUAUCGUCCAUGGUUCACUUUGAAUUGAGGAUUUGAAUUGAGGAUGAUAUGAUUUAAUCGGUUCUGAGGACUUUGCUAGAUACGGUCAAUGACGCUUCUUCCUCUUUUAACCGAAGCUUCUGCUUACCUAAGAAGAUAAAGCAACACAUAGUGUUUCAUAAUACUCUAUGUAGAUUGCCAGUAUAUAGUACAAAGUGUUUACUUUUUCUGUAACACAUGACAAACCUGUUUUGGCUAAUGACUUUUGUUCACUAGUUUUUGAAGAAACUUUGGCAUUCAAUUUUUUCUGAGUAGACUGUUUUACUCUUUUUUCUCCAUGGUCAUUGCCAUAAGCAUCAGAGCUAAUGCAGUCAUCUUCUGUAGACUCUUCCUUGCUUCUGAUCUUUCUUUUGAUGGUCACACUUUCUGAGCGAGUGGAUGAAGUAGUUUCCUUUAUUUCUUCACCAGAACUUUCAUCUGUAACAGAUAAACAAGGCAGAUCUUACCAAAUAGCAAAGCUAUAGGAAGUCUGAGACUUUUCAAUCUACUUCAAAUGGAACAAGCGGGAACAACUACUUAAAUGCAAACAAGUCCACAUUCUUUUUUUAAUGUGUAGUUACAUACCUUGUAAAUUACUGUCCAUAUGAAGUCGUAAAGCUGAUAUAAGUUCCUUUCUUGUUUGCUUAUCAAGUAGAACGAUUCGCCAACACAUGCGAUUUUCGUAAUCAACAGAGAGAGAGAGAUAGAGAACGAAAACAAACAAAGUCGGUUUUUUUUUUUCCCUUCUCAAAAUCUGAAUACAAUCACAAAACAACAAACUUUGUACCUUUCGAUUCACAGAACAAAAGCUUGAUUCGAUUCUAGAUGCAUGCGAUUUUCGGGAGAAAAGGAGAGAGAGAGAGAGAGCACCGAAAGAACGACGACAUGGUGAUCAGUUUUUUUUUGCCUUCUGAAAUUCUCUCUCCAAUAAGAUUAAAACACAUGUCUAACAAGGGACGGUUCUUCUAACUCCUAUUUAGGAGACGUUCUUUGUCUUAAUUGCAAUUUUUCUUUUUCUUUUAAUUGUAAUUCUCCUUAAAGACCCAUCUAAGAGACUGGGUUAAUCCUGCUCUAAUGUUGCUUACGUAUUUUGUGUUGUUAUGCAAUUAUCCCUAAAUACCUACUUUAUACUUCGUGUAAAAUGAUAUUUUAACAGCGGUUGAAAUUUUUAAUUGUUUUUGUUCUGGAGUCUGUAGAACUAGAAAAAAUAAAUCUUAGUAGGUUGUUGACAUAAUUUAUCAUUUUCUCUAACUACGUUUCCUACUUUUGUCUUUACUCAUUGGUUUCUUUUUACUUUCUAAUAAUUCCAAAGUUUCCCUUUUCUUUUCCUGUGAUUUUCAUUCUAUAAUUAUAUAUCUCAAUGAGCAUUUUCAACAAUAAUUGAUUUAAGUUUUGUAUUCGUUUGGUAAUUUAUGACAUUUUAUUAACAUAACCAUUUCUAACUUCAUAUCAAUGUUAAAAUGAAAUCUAUAAUUUGUUUUUGUUGGUUCUAUUUCCAAAUUAUAUGACAGCUUAAAAUCUCAUAAACCUGGGUUGAAAAAAGAGAGAAAAACCUAAAAACUCCUAAAACCAUUUUCCCGACAUUUCUAUGCCCAGUUGAAAAAUCGGAUGAAUCUUUUUAAUAAAGUCAAAUGACAAUAUGGUCGAAUGGUACAGUGAAUGUAGAAAAAUGAUAAAUCUUCUAAGUUUGAUAUCUAUUAUUUUAAAUUUAUUUAUUUGUGUGAUCAAUCAAUAUAAAUAUUUAAUUUUCAUUGUAAUUAAUCAGAUCCGACUGGCACUGACAAGUAUCCUAGUUAUUAAAAAAAAAAAGAAUAAAAUAAAGAUAGUUAAUAGUGUGCUCAGACUAGAACCUAGGAGUAUCUCUCAGAAGUCUGAACCAUAUGCUUUACUCAUUGGUUUCUUUUUUUGUUUCUAGUAGUAAUUCCAAAGUUUCCCUUUUCUUUUCCUGCGAUUUUCAUUCUUUAAUUCUAUAUCUCCAGUCAUGUCUGAUGAAUAAAAGUACUGUCCAAAGAAAGUCCAUAACAUCAUUAAUCAACCCAAAUAAGUUCAAACAAAAUGACCAAAGAUGAUAAAAUGUACAUCAUUAUCGACAAUAUACAUAACCUCGUUUCUACUGAAAUCUAGUAGCCUAUUAACCGAAUUAGAUAUCCUUGUCACAUUCCUUGUUGUAUCUAACCUCACCACGGUACUCCUAGUCUGACUUUGUCUCUACUUUGAUUGUACUCGCACUCCAAAAGCAUUACAUCAAUCAUUUUCCUUCCCUUUUAACCGCAAUUCUCCUCGUACUAGUUGAGACCUCGUAUCGUUGCCUCUAUAAAAAAAAACACCAUCGUAGCCACAGGUUCUUCGCUGUGUUUGGUUUAAUGAGACCAACCCCAUAACAUGUUCAAAUGCGAAUGUGAAGACCAAACCACACCAAAUUCCCAAGUAGAUUAGGUCCCAACCAAUUCCAAAAGCAGACCCGCGUACAAUCCAACAGGGACCAAACACACAAUGAGAGACCAAAUACCUAACUUCAUUGUCUAUUUAUCUUUAUAUUACCUUUGUUGGCUCAGCUUGGAACGCUGGUGAUGGAAAGCAAUUUUGUAGCGCCGAGCCCGAUCCUCAGAGCGUGGCAGAGGCUAGAACAGAGUUGGCAAAAUCCAAACAGUUUUUCGUAUUUCAACGAUGUUCAACCUCUUUCUGUUUCCUUCCAAGUAUCAUACUCUGAGGAGCCAUAGAGACAAACAACCAAUAAUAAUUGAGAACAAAGAGAUAAAAUUGAAAGUGUGAUAGAUAGAGAAAACUGUUUAGAUUAACCUAAUCCCUUUUUUUUAAUAGUAAGUAUUCCAUAAUACCUCCUAUCUCCCUUCUGUGAAAUCCCCAUUCAAUAUCAAAAAUCGAAUCCCAUUGAUAACCAAAUUUCGAAUCCAAUUUCUGAGUCAUCAAAAAAAAAGAUCCACAAUCCAUAUAAUCUCUUUAACAUUAUCACCAGAAUACCUUUUGUGAUUCUGUAAUUUCGUCUUGAUGUUGACUAAAUCUAGAUCUCUUUUCUUUAAAUUCGGAUCCGUUCUGAUACUCCCGGAUUCGAGUUAGCAUAUCUAUCUAUCAAGUUAAUUCUUGUUUGCGGAGCUACAUCAAAUUGAUUUUUUUUAAAGGAAAUAUUUUUUGGGUAGACUUAUUAUUUUAAAAUGUUAAAUUAAAUGAUGAUUUGAUAGGUUUAUUGAUAUUUUAUUUUUUCAAGAAGAUUUUCAAUAUUGUGAAGCUUAACUUUAAAAAUCCAAUGUGAUUUCAAUUAUUCUAGACUUUAUUUUUAAAACAUUUGUAUCCUUUAAACAAUGAUUUGUUAUUUUUAUAUUAAUUUUCUAAAAUAGUAUACGGAGUAUUUCUACUAAAUAGACUAUUUUCAAGUUUUUAUCCUAAAAAUAGAUCAUAAAGAAAGAAAAUGACAAAAAUGUUUUAUUUAAUAGGUAAAAAGAUCUUAAUACCUUAGAUAUAUAAAUACAAAUAAAUAAAUAAAAAAGAAAAAAAAUAUAAAUAUUUUUUUUAUAGUUUCAAAUUAUAUGUUUUCAAAUUCGAAUUUUUUUUUAUCAAUUUUUUUUGUGAUUUGAAAUACUUUUUAAAAUUAUUUUUUAAAUCUUUAUUUUCAAAUUUUUAAUACUUACUUUUUAUUUUAUAAAAUUUUAAAACUUAAUCUCAAAUCUCCACCUCUUAACUAAGGUUUGGAUAAGUUAACUCUAAAUGUAUAAGUGUAUAUUUGUUUUUUUAAUGAAAUAUUUUAGUCAUUUUUAUCCUAGUGUAUAUAUGUGACAAAAAAAAAUUUAACGCUAUUCUAGCGUAUUUCUCUAGUAUAUAUUUCACAUUGAUUCUUUUUAUCUUAAAGUUAUGUUUCUUUUAGUGCGUAAGAAAUCUACAUCAACAUUGCUUCGAUUUUGACUAUUAAUAUAAUUUAUGAUUGGUAAAUUAUAGUUAUACAACUAUACGAUUUUUAUAAUAUAAUUAACUUUAAUAUUUUCAUAGCUAUAGUGCUAUAUAAAAAUGUAAUUGCUAUAUUAUAUGAUUUUAAUCAUACAUAUUUUACUCAGAUGUCGGCUAACAUAUUAUAUUAUCAUUUCUAGAAUGGUUAAUUAUGCUAUAAAAAUAUACUUUUAUAGUAGUUAAUUUAAUUUUAAAACUAUAUUUUAUACAAAAACAAUCAAUAAAAAGUAAAAUAUAUAAAAUCUAUAUAAUAAUAGUAUCUCCCCCAAGGCUAUCCACCUAGGCAGUUUUAAAGUUUGUGGACCCCACGUUUUUUUGGUUUGGUUUGAUCACAAGUUUUCGAGUUUUGUUUGAUUAGGGUUUUAUUGAUCUCCUUCUUCGACCCUUCAACGGUCGCGUCUUCGCUGGUUUUAAUCUGCAAUCAGACGAUUUAUUUUCUCAAUUCUUAACCUCUCUUAUGAUGUUGUUUCCCAAUCAGCCAAUUCAUUCUAGACUGCGCCGGCCGUGCCGCAGCACCUUAACCACCAUAAUCUGAAGGUCCAGGCGGUGGUGGAGCUCCGUAAGGCUUCUCCUUUGUCAGCAUGUAGUCCCCUGAUGUAGCAGGCGCGGAAAGAGAAGAAGGAGGAAGUGCGCCGUGGGGCACCGUACGGCGGAUUGUUUCUGCUGAAGGAGUAAGGUGGCGGUUGAUUUCCACCACCGUAGCCCGCUGGAAACGAAAAGGUAAACACUUUGCAAAAGAGAUCGAAAAAAGAAUGAGUUGACAAUAAAGGUCUGUUUCUUUUAGUUUCUGAUAUGUUUUAGGAAAAAGAAACCAAGAAAGAAGCUUUCAGGAAUUAUUUAGAGUUCGGUGGAGUUAGGGGCUUUUAGGAAGUAUUUGUUAUUGAUUCUCUCACCAAAGGUAUUGUUUCUUUUUCUACAUUACACCAUCACUAAAAGAAACUGCAACCGUUUCUGUAUCAAAUAGUUUGAUCGUUUCCUGACAUAAUAAUUUGAUUUAUACUCUUUUGUAUGUUCUGGAACACAAUGUGGGUUUCCAAUUUACUUCUGGUUGUUUUGUAUGAGCAGAAUGACAAGUCUUCCUUCCUGUACUUUGUUUCUAACCAAUAUGUACCCAGAUUCAUUCAGCAAAAUCUAGGAGGUCUUUCAGUUUCUGAUUACGAGAAGCUUCAAGCUGAGAAGUCUAAUCUUCAAAUAAAGUAUAUGAGCUAUUUGCUAAACAUCAAGAAACGUUGAGAGAGGUAUAUCCAAAAGUAUUCAGACUUCAUGUGAAUUAUUCUUCUGCUUCUUGAUGGGAAGAAUUCUGUAAUCCACACUUUCAUCCCUGCAUUCAAUGAUUUAAAACCAACCAAUAUGGUCACCUGUCUAAAAAAAAGACCACCCAUUCGUCAUAGGACGUUUCAUGCUUUCCACAACGAUCACACUAUUUGACAAGUCUUACGGUGAGGGGUUCUGGGGAGGACUCACACUCCACUUGAACAUGAGAUGUUUUCAAAUUCCAGCAUGCUCUUGUAUCUCCAGUGUCCAGCCAGUGCUGUCAACCCCGGUUCAUCGUUGUCAUUUCUGGAGAAGUUCUGCCAAGAUAUUUCAGCUCAGGAUGGGUAUUUGCUCAGUUUCAUGAACCAGAAGUCGCCCAGUUCUUUGCAACAUUUGGCGCUAACCUCACAAUUGCAUGGAUGGAAGGUAUAUUCUUUCAUAACAUUAAGUUAUGAAUAUUAAUAGCUCAUGCAGAAACUUGAUCGUACACUGAUUCUUUUCGAAAUCUGUAAUAGCUCAGGAAGACAAUAGGAGCUCGGUAAAGCUUCCAUGAAGCGGAGAGAGCUUGAAUGGUCUGAAGUAAAAAGCAGUCUUGCUCAGUAAUUAACGGCUUCACAGAUCCCAUGUUCUUUGGAUGUGAGUGACAAUGGACGAUUGGAGAAAAAGACAAGCAUCUGGGCGGAGCAGCGAGGGCAAUUAGCGUCACCUCUGCUGUACUAUAAUUAUCACCUCCGCAGACGCCCUGGAGUCAUAAAUACGACGAGAGAAGGAGGAGAACACGAAAGGGGUUACGGUGUUGGAAGGUCAAGCUAAAUUUAGUUGUUACCUAUCACUAUCAGUGUCCACCACCGAUGCAAUGGCCAAUCGAAUCUCAAGUUCAUUUUAAGGAAAUGGUCUCAGUCAUAAGACUGUUAUGAACAAUCGAUUUCAAAAUAUCAACAUAAACUUAGGAUAAUAAAUUUCUCUCGAAUGCAUUAUUUUUUAAUCAAAAUUUGAUCCUUUUCAAA